This 150-nucleotide unclassified non-coding RNA is filed under the name uncultured Sordariales. RNAcentral's name for it is "sequence contains ITS1". Lineage: Eukaryota; Fungi; Ascomycota; Sordariomycetes; Sordariales. The record is from RNAcentral.
CAGAGUUGCAAAACUCCCAAACCCACUGUGAACCUACCUAUUUGUUCCUUCGGCAGGCGGCCCCCGGGGGGGCUUCGCCGCAAGGCGCCUGCCGCGGGACAACCAAACUCUUGCUGUUUUAGUGUCUUCUGAGCAACUAUAAACAAGUCA